Molecule: ribosomal RNA, 449 nt
Filed under: uncultured bacterium
Lineage: Bacteria
Description: partial 16S ribosomal RNA
Rfam family: Bacterial small subunit ribosomal RNA
Source: RNAcentral
AACGAACGCUGGCGGCAUGCCUAACACAUGCAAGUCGAACGAGAUCUUCGGGUCUAGUGGCGCACGGGUGCGUAACGCGUGGGAAUCUGCCCUUUGGUUCGGAAUAACAGUUGGAAACGACUGCUAAUACCGGAUGAUGACGAAAGUCCAAAGAUUUAUCGCCAGAGGAUGAGCCCGCGUAGGAUUAGCUAGUUGGUGUGGUAAAGGCGCACCAAGGCGACGAUCCUUAGCUGGUCUGAGAGGAUGAUCAGCCACACUGGGACUGAGACACGGCCCAGACUCCUACGGGAGGCAGCAGUGGAGAAUAUUGGACAAUGGGCGAAAGCCUGAUCCAGCAGUGCCGCGUGAGUGAUGAAGGCCUUAGGGUUGUAAAGCUCUUUUACCCGGGAUGAUAAUGACAGUACCGGGAGAAUAAGCUCCGACUAACUCCGUGCCAGCCGCCGCGGUAA